AAAGAUAUGCAUAUUCUUCUGAAUAUACUUUAUUAACCCAUUCCGAGUACCUUACCCGUUGCUUCCGGAGGCUGUCCUCACGGCCCUCUGAAGAUUUAUCUUUGGGGAGUCCUUGCGGAAAGGUAUACAAUAAACUCAUUGCAUAUACCAUGUCAUCUGUCUGAACCUGUUUAAAACCAAUAUUAA
This 186-nucleotide unclassified non-coding RNA is filed under the name soil metagenome. Its description in RNAcentral is "partial internal transcribed spacer 1". The record is from RNAcentral.